AUCAAGGGUGGGAAUUCCAGGGUGGGAAUCCAGUUGGAGGCUCAGGAUAAAAUAAAUCCCAGCUGAUCCAGUCUGGGAAUUCUGGGAUCUGAUCCCGCAGGGCCUGGCUCCAAGGAGGAGCAAGGGAAGGCUUGGAAAACUGGGAAGGGCAUGGAAAAGCAGAGGGAAUGGAAAAACAGGGAUGGCGCGGAAAACAGGGAGAGCAGGGGGGAAAUGGAGAGCACGGAAAAACCAGGGAGGGCCUGGAAAACCAUGGAGAACAUGGAAAACCAAGGAAAACAUGGAAAAGCAGAAGGAAUUAAAAAAAGAGGGAGGGCAUGGAAAACAGGGAGAGCUUGGAAAACCAAAAGGAAUGGAAAACUGAGCAUGGAAAAUCAGGGAGAACGUGGAAAUCCAUGGAGAUCAUGGAGAACCAAGGAAAACAUGGAAAACCGUGGAGAACAUGGAAAACCAUUGAGAACAUGGAAAGCCAUGGAGAACAUGGAAAACCAUGGAGAACAUGGAAAACCAAGGAAAACCUGGAAAACCAUGGAGAACAUGGAAAACCGUGGAGAACAUGGAAAACCAAGGAAAACCUGGAAAACCAAGGAGAACAUGGAAAACCGUGGAGAACAUGGAAAGCCAUGGAGAACAUGGAAAACCAUGGAGAACAUGGAAAACCAAGGAAAACCUGGAAAACCAAGGAGAACAUGGAAAACCAUGGAGAACAUGGAAAACCGUGGAGAACAUGGAAAACCAAGGAAAACAUGGAACACCAUGGAGAACAUGGAAAACCAAGGAAAACAUGGAAAACCGUGGAGAACAUGGAAAACCGUGGAGAACAUGGAAAACCAUGGAGAACAUGGAAAACCAUGGAGAACAUGGAAAGCCAUGGAGAACAUGGAAAACUGUGGAGAACAUGGAAAACCAAGGAAAACAUGGAAAACCAUGGAGAACAUGGAAAACCAUGGAGAACAUGGAAAACCAAGGAAAACCAAGGAAAACCAAGGAAAUGUGGAAAACCAUGGAGAACAGGGGAAAAGAUGGAAAACCAGGGGGAAUGUGGGAUCCUGCUGAGCCUCCAGAGUGCCGCAUUCCCACAUGGAAAAUCCCAAAUUCCCAUAGGAGCUGGGGCAGCAUGGGUGGCCUCGGAGCCAGCCCUGCUGCCGGGGACAUUCCGAAGUUUUCCCGGGAUUUGGGAUCCCUCCACGUGGCCGCUCCGGUGACAUCCAGGGACAAAGCGCCACCGGAUCUGGGAAAAGGGAAGGGAUGGAGCGGGAUCAGCUCCCACCCUUCCAGGGGUACCCAGGGACAUCCCAGGUGGCCACCAGGGCUGGGAAAAACAAGGAAUUCUGGCAGCGGGAAGCAGGGAAUGGUGGGAGGGGAGAGGAUUUCAGGGAAUCUGGGAAUGUGGAGCAGGAGGGGAAAGCAGCAGGAAAUGUGGGGAUGGGGGAGAUGGAGCAAUCCUGGAGAUCUCCCGGAAUUCUCCUGGAGAUCUCUUGGAAUUCUCCUGGAGCUCUCCUGGAUCUAUCCUGGAGAUCUCCUGGAUCUCACUUGGAGCUCUCCUGGUGGUCUCUUGGAGUUCCCCUGGAGCUCUCCUGAAAUUCCAGAGCUCUCCCAGAGCUCUCCUGAAAUUCCAGAGCUCUCCCAGAGCCCUCUUGGAGUUCUCCUGGAGUUCCAGAGCUCUCCCAGAGCUCUCCUGGAAUUCCAGGGCUCUCCCGGAGUUGUCCUGGAGCUCUCCUGGAAUUCCAGAGCUCUCCUGGAAUUCCAGGACUCUCCCGGAGCUCUCUUGGAGCUCUCCUGGAGCUCUCCUGGAAUUCCAGAGCUCACCUGGAGCUCUCCUGGAAUUCCAGGGCUCUCCCGGAGCUCUCUUGGAGCUCUCCUGGAGCUCUCCUGGAAUUCCAGAGCUCACCUGGAGCUCUCCUGGAAUUCCAGGGCUCUCCUGGAGCUCUCUUGGAGCUCUCCUGGAGCUCUCCUGGAAUUCCAGAGCUCUCCUGGAGCUCUCCUGGCAGGGUUUGGGAUCUGCCCGGAGAUGGGAAAUCAAAACCUGGGACUGCCGGGUGUGGGAGAGGAGGGAGAGGAGCGGGAUGAGGAGCNNNNNNNNNNNNNNNNNNNNNNNNNNNNNNNNNNNNN
Molecule: long non-coding RNA, 2112 nt
Filed under: Lonchura striata (white-rumped munia)
Lineage: Eukaryota; Metazoa; Chordata; Aves; Passeriformes; Estrildidae
Description: domestica (Bengalese finch) lncRNA (ENSLSDG00000005763.1)
Source: RNAcentral